GUGCUUGGCUAAAGCUAGGUGACAGAAUUUAGAUGAUGAUUGCAAGGAAAUAUAGGCCUAAACUAACCAAAGUUGACGACAAAGAAAAUGACAAAGUAGCAAUGGAAGGUUCAGAUUAUCUCAAUAUCUUUUUGGCAUUUUCAUUAAACUUGAGAAAUAAAAUGCUAACACAAGUAAUCGUCAAACGGCUAGUGAAUUAAAAAGACCUGAUCAUAUAUAUAACUAUCUAACAUUUAGCAGGAAAAAUAAACAAGGUUGCAGGAUAGAACAUAAACGUAUUAUAUCACAGGCACACACAUAUGUAUAUAUAUCACACAUGCUUGAGUUAACACAGACUACAAAAUGAAACAACUUCACAAGGUUGGAUACACAUAUAUGGUGACAGAUAGACCACAAAUACACAGCAAGAAUACUUCAACUAGUGAGAACACACAAUCUGUGAUACAAUAUUUAUAAGUACGAAGCUGAGCAAUUGUCAGGUUGCAAGAUCUUAUCAAAUCUGAAUAUUACAGGAACUACACGUCUCCAAUUACAGAAAAUUCAGAGAAGAGAGAGGGAAAGAGAUAGCAGCGAGUAGCAGAGAGAAGGGGCAGCAAGCAGUGGGGGUUGAGAUACAGAGAAGAGAAUCAGCAAAGGGGUGUUAUCCUGAAGCAGAAGGAAGCAGCAGGCGACUUGGAGAAGAAGCAGCAGCGUGGGGAUGGAGAAGAAGAUGAGCAGCAGGGCGAGAGAGGUGCGAUGGUUGGUGGCCCACCGGCGAUGCGGUGGCGCGGUGGAGCUGAUGGCGCGGUUGAUGGUGCAGCGGCAGGUGCUGAUGGCGUGGUAGCUGGAGGCGAUGAUGGUGUUGGAGGAAGGAGGUUGGCUGGGUGGCGCGCCGCCAUGACGGCCUGGCCGUGGCGGCGGCCGGAGGUGGAGAAGGAGGCGGGGAAGAGAUGAGAUGGAGAGAUGUGCCAGGCCCCCUGGGGAAUAGAGGCAUUCUAGGGAUUUUGUUCCCCUCGAUCAGAUCUUCCGCUUUGCUCUUUGGCCCUUCUACUUCUCUUCUUUCUUCACAAGAUGAUCCCUCCAACUUCAUUGGCAUGCCCCUGGUUACUUCUUUUCUUCUCGCUCAGGUCCUUGAUGUAUUUCUUUCAUGCCCUUCUCCCUUGUCAUUAGCCAUAAAGUCAGAAUCUUGACGAUUAUAGUGCCUUUGCGCACUUUUCUGCAAAAUAAUCAAAUGACGAGUAAAUGAUCUUUUAUAUGAUUUUCAUUCAAAUAUUCAACAUUUCACAGCAAGAAUUGAUGGUCAUAUCUCAAUAAACCGCAUAUUUGAGUGCCAAAAGAUGUAUAAGAAGUGUGCUUAUCAAGUUCCCCCACACUUAAAUCUUUACUUGUCCUCAAGUAAAGGCAUAUGACACGAACUCGAUAGUGAAUAGAGAACUGACUAGAGAAUGCCAAGUGAAGUAGAUCUCUAAACAGUGCAUGCUUUGGACUUAGCUAGUGAAAAUUAAUGGUUAGGAGUGCUUCAAAGCGGUAGGAUACUAGUAGACUUGACCAUUUUAAACUUUUACAAUGAUAAAAGAAGAUCAACUAGCUCAAAUGAUGAUUGUGCCAAAGGUUCCUAAAGAGAGCAUGAUCCCGAGAACAAAAAGAACAUAAACUUGUGAUCAGAUCACUUAUUUACAAAAAUAAAGCAGUGAUAAUAUUUUAUCUAUCUCACCAAAGGAACAUACCACCGAUCCCGAGAACAUGGUAUACACCCGGCUCGACCAAUUAUUAGUUUUUUUUGUUUGUCUCCCCAAAGGAACAUACCACCGAUCCAGAGAACAUGGUAUACACCUGGUUCGACAAUUACAUUUUUAAUUAAUUACUGCCCAAGCUAACCCGAUUUCACAUGCCAUCGAUCUAGGGAACAUGACAUGCUACUGUAGGUAGUCAGACUUAUUUAUUCAUUAUUACUUAUCUUAAAUGAACAACGGAUAAGCACAAAAACAGGAAUCAUCACUUCUCCAUGUCUGGUUCACAUGCUACCGAUCCAGGGAACAUAGCAUACUAGUCCAUAGUGGUAAAGUGAUUGCUCUCAAUGGGAACACCAUAGGCACAAACUCAACAUCUAACACUUAAUGAUCUAAGUGUAUCAAGGUAAAAGCAGAAAAUGAUUAAGUUUACUAGUGCACUAGGGAUUUGAGCACUCAAAACUAAUAGCUUUCACUACUUUCAGCAGAGCAAACAGGGUGUAGAUCACUAGUUUACAAGGCAUUCAACAAUCAGUUCGCAUAUUCUCAUCAAGCACCAUAUGUCAAAGGUGAAAUUCAGUGGGACAACAUUUAAGAAAUGGCACAAGCAACCCAAAUAGCAAUUUAAUUCAGCAAGCAUCAAUGCAUGAUGAUUUCAAAAUGGGUCAUGAAACAGCUCACCGGGCUUUGAUGAUGUAGCACUCGCUCGAUCACCUCACCAACUGCAGCUCCUCUCCUUUUGCUUCUCAAUCCUCAUGCCUGCUCCAGCUUCUCUCUUCCAUAUUUGUGCCCCAUUGCUUCUCCUCUUCACCGUGCUCUGAGUCCACCAGGGUCCCAAGGAAUGUCACCUCGAACCUGGUCAACAUGAAGUGAACGGUGCAGAAGCAAAAACCUGAAAAGGCACUCAACAAAAGAGACAAUGCGAGUGGUAGGGAUAAUACCCUCCAAGUCAUCAAUCGAGUGGCCAAUUACAUAAGCAUAGCUAUAAAGCACAUGUUUAGGGUGAUAGAAAUCAGCAAGGUCAACACUAACAUGAGGAUGACAUUUAUCAUUAAGCUCAAGACUAGUAUGAGAAUGAUAUGUUUCAUUAAGCAUAGGUCUAGCACGAUGAAAGUAACUAUGAUCAUCCCUAAUGUGAGUAAUGCCACUAACAAGGUAUAUAUGAUCAUGUCCAAGCAAAUACUUUUUCAAAUCUACUUUAACAGAUGGCAUCAUGCAAUGCAAGGUAGUAGCAAACAAUUCAUAUGGACUCAUGUCAUCACGAGGAUUAGAUAAACCUGCUACAUCACGCUCUUGUGUGACAAUAGGCAAAUGAAUUUCUGGUUCUUCAAGUUCAUCUACAGCAGCUUCUUUUGCUUCUUCAAGAGUAGUAGAUGAUGAGUCUUCAACUUGAUUACUUGGUUGUUCGAGCUCUGGAUCAUCUUGUGCCUUGGCUUCGAGUACAUCUUCAAUCUGAGGUCUCUCUUCCUCUGGAUCUUCUAUGGUGCUACUACCAGCAACACUUAAUUGAGUCUGAAGUGUCCCCAUCUAUGAAUAUUCACUAACAUGAUCUGGUAGGGGUGCUGAGAUCACUACCUCGCUGUCUUUCUGAGCAAUGUUCUCCUCAUCACCAUCAUUGCUAAGUUUCAACAGUGACACCGAUGACUUCCACCAGUCAUGCAGCUCAGCAACACAUGGGAUCUUCUCAGGAUAUUGAAGUAUCAGCUCUUCUAAAUUUGACUCAACCUCUUGUAUCUCUCUCCUUGGAAUGUCUCCGACUUGCUUAAUUGUAUGUGCAGGAGUUGGAAUCUCAUCUUCACUAUUCUUCUCUGAGAUACUCUCUUUAACUGUGAUAGAGGUAACCACUGGUGGAUCUAAUGAUUUCUUCUUGACAAAUAGUCCAGAUACAGUUGUAACACAAGUGUGGGCAAUUGGUGACACGACUGAAUUCCACCAGUCAGAUAGCUGACUAACAUAAGUGAAUUUCUCCAUAUCUUGCUGUCUCAACUUAGCGUCAAUCAGAGUAGGUUCCUCAUAAACCUCUUCUUGCAACUUUGACUCAUUCUGAACAGUUUCAUUGCCAUGAGGUAUUGGAUCUGCUACUGUGGUAUCCAUCUGAUCUACAGUGGUUGCAUCAUCUUGGAAAAUAUCAUAAUCAUCAUCAAGGAUAAUUGAAGUAAGAUCAAUGUUUCUAUAUGGAGGAUCUAAUUCAGUUCUGAAAUGUUGUUGUCCCCGGAAUGAAACAUGCUGGUUUUGAAUAUUAGGCACCAUGGAUGAUUUCUGUUCACUUAUGGAACACACAGCUUCUGAUUGCACGAGGCUUGCAACCUUCGGAUUUGAACUAGGCCUUUCAUAACCCCAUUGUAUUUGGUGGAAGGCAAUGCUCUCAAUGAGAAUAAUUGCACCCUCAACGGCCUUGUUCAUGAUUGUUCCACCAGCUGACAUAUCAAUAAGAUCUCUUGAAGCAUGUGUUAGCCCUCUAUAGAAUAUCUGAAGCACUAACCAAUCCUUUUGCCCAUGAUUAGGACAUUUUCUAAGCAAAUACUUACAUCUCUCCCAAGCUGCAUACAAGCUCUCACUACCAUCUUGCGCAAAACUGAGGAUCUGGUCACGAAUUGCAGCUUGCUUGUAAAGUGGAAAAUAUCUAUGCAGGAAAGCUUGUGAAAUAUCACCCCAAGUGUAUGAUCUUGAUGGCAAAGAAUAGUACCAGUCCUUGCAGCAUCUCUGAGAGAGAAUGUGAACAACAUACACUUGAUAGCAUCUUGGGAAACGCCAUGAUACUGGACUGUAUUGGCAUACUCCAGAACAUUACUAAUGUGCUCAUGAGGGUCUUCAUUGGGUAAUCCUCUAAACUGAUUCUGCAAGACGAGAGCAAUAAGCCCAGGCCUCAACUCAAAAUUUUCGGCCUCAAUAGAUGGCCAAAUUGGCCCUGUCAUCGUGUCCAAACUACUUGGCAACCAAAGAUCACGUACUAAACCCAUAUGUUCAAGUGCAAUUGUCAAUCAGCCUACAAAUAAUAAGAUAUCCUACACACGCUCACAAACAUCAAACAUUGGUGAGAGGGUUAGUAUCCUAAUAAGCCGAAGCAACAAAAAGUAAAAAGGUAAAAGAAACACAUAAAUAAAUUUGACUGGAAAUUUAAACAAAAACUAUACUAAGCCUAGUCUAUAGCUUCGCACAAUCGCUCGACGCAAGUCCCCGGCAACGGCGCCAAAAUGAUCAAUUGUAAGUACAGCGGGAUAUUUCACCCAAACUGCAAGUGUCGUGUUCCCCACAGGGACUAGGCAAAUCGAUGAUCGUGCUUGGCUAAAGCUAGGUGACAGAAUUUAGAUGAUGAUUGCAAGGAAAUAUAGGCCUAAACUAACCAAAGUUGACGACAAAGAAAAUGACAAAGUAGCAAUGGAAGGUUCAGAUUAUCUCAAUAUCUUUUUGGCAUUUUCAUUAAAAUUGAGAAAUAAAAUGCUAACACAAGUAAUCGUCAAACGGCUAGGGAAUUAAAAAGACCUGAUCAUAUAUAUAACUAUCUAACAUUUAGCAGGAAAAAUAAACAAGGUUGCAAGAUAGAACAUAAACGUAUUAUAUCACAGGCACACACAUAUGUAUAUAUUUCACACAUGCUUGAGUUAACACAGACUACAAAAUGAAACAAGUUCACAAGGUUGGAUACACAUAUAUGGUGACAGAUAGACCACAAAUACACAGCAAGAACACUUCAACUAGUGAGAACACACAAUCUGUGAUACAAUAUUUAUAAGAACGAAGCUGAGCAAUUGUCAGGUUGCAAGAUCUUAUCAAAUCUAAAUAUUACAGGAACUACACGUCUCCAAUUACAGAAAAUUCAGAGAAGAGAGAGGGAAAGAGAUAGCAGCGAGUAGCAGAGAGAAGGGGCAGCAAGCAGUGGGGGUUGAGAUACAGAGAAGAGAAUCAGCAAAGGGGUGUUAUCCUGAAGCAGAAGGAAGCAGCAGGGGACUUGGAGAAGAAGCAGCAGCGUGGGGAUGGAGAAGAAGAUGAGCAACAAGGCGAGGGAGGUGCGCUGGUUGGUGGCCCACCGGUGAUGCGGUGGCGCGGUGGAGCUGGUGGCGCGGUUGAUGGUGCAGCGGCAGUUGCUGAUGGCGUGGUAGCUGGAGGCGAUGAUGGUGUUGGAGGAAGGAGGUUGGCUGGGUGGCGCGCCGCCACGAUGGCCUGGCCGCGGCGGCGGCCGGAGGUGGAGAAGGAGGCGGGGAAGAGAUGAGAUGGAGAGAUGUGCCAGGCCCCCUGGGGAAUAGAAGCAUUCUAGGGAUUUUGUUCCCCUCGAUUAGAUCUGCCGCUUUGCUCUUUGGCCCUUAUACUUCUCUUCUUUCUUCACAAGAUGAUCCCUCCAACUUCUUUGGCAUACCCCUGGUUACUUCUUUUCUUCUCGCUCAGGUCCUUGAUGUAUUUCUUUCAUGCCCUUCUCCCUUCUCAUUAGCCAUAAAGUCAGAAUCUUGACGAUUAUAGUGCCUUUGCGCACUUUUCUACAAAUAAUCAAAUGGCGAGUAAAUGAUCUUUUAUAUGAUUU
RNAcentral lists this long non-coding RNA (6225 nucleotides) under Triticum aestivum (bread wheat). RNAcentral describes it as "long non-coding RNA (TAES_LNC013418)". The stretch from base 4201 to 4292 matches the Rfam family "Plant small nucleolar RNA R71". Lineage: Eukaryota; Viridiplantae; Streptophyta; Magnoliopsida; Poales; Poaceae. The record is from RNAcentral.